AGGUCGUAGCGGCGAGUGAAGCGGCAAGAGCUCAGAUUUGAAAUCUCACCUAGUGUGCGAGUUGUAAAUUGCAGGUUGGAGUCUCGGGUUAGACGUGUGUGCAAGUCCCUUGGAACAGGGUGCCACUGAGGGUGAGAGCCCCGUAUCGUGCAUGUCGACACCUGUGAGGCCCUUCUGACGAGUCGAGUUGUUUGGGAAUGCAGCUCUAAGUGGGUGGUAAAUUCCAUCUAAGGCUAAAUAUUGGCGAGAGACCGAUAGCGAACAAGUACUGUGAAGGAAAGAUGAAAAGCACUUUGAAAAGAGAGUGAAACAGCACGUGAAAUUGUUGAAAGGGAAGGGUAUUGGGCUCGACAUGGGAUUUACGCAUCGUUGCCUCUCGUGGGCGGCGCUCUGGGUUUUUCCUGGGCCAGCAUCGGUUUUCGUUGCAGGAUAAGGACAAUUGGAAUGUGGCUCCUCGGAGUGUUAUAGCCUUUUGUAGAUGCUGCGUAUGGGGACCGAGGGCUGCGGCGGACUCGUUUCGUCUCGGAUGCUGGCACAACGGCGCAAUACCGCCCGUCUUGAACCACGGACCAAA
Molecule: ribosomal RNA, 574 nt
Filed under: Pichia kluyveri
Lineage: Eukaryota; Fungi; Ascomycota; Pichiomycetes; Pichiales; Pichiaceae
Description: partial large subunit ribosomal RNA
Rfam family: Eukaryotic large subunit ribosomal RNA
Source: RNAcentral